RNAcentral lists this long non-coding RNA (618 nucleotides) under Lonchura striata (white-rumped munia). RNAcentral describes it as "domestica (Bengalese finch) lncRNA (ENSLSDG00000013444.1)". Lineage: Eukaryota; Metazoa; Chordata; Aves; Passeriformes; Estrildidae. The record is from RNAcentral.
AAAUGUCCCAGAAGCUGAUCGAUGUCUUUGUGCUCCUGCUGUGUUAAUUUGGGCUGUGCUUCAGCCUUCUCUCCCUGGGCUCUUGCAGUUGCAGUAUCUCUUGGGUGCUGUGCAGAACGGAAUCAGGCAGCCAAGCCUCAGGUUUCCCUUCUCCCUGACCCUCUACGCUGCUGGUGUGGCACAGCAGAUCCUGAAGCAGGUACUGAAACUUGCUGCAUGUGUCACUGCUGGGGUGAAAAACGGAGCCUUGGGGAGUGUUGAUCUCCUCACCUUCUCUGUGCUCGUGCAUUCUUGACUGAGCUUUUCCUGCUGGGCAAGAGAAGGGGAGGGUGGGCAGCACUCAGAAUGAGCCUCGGAGCAAAGGCCUUCUGCAGUUGCUGGGCUGUUCUCCCAGCUUGGAGCGCUGCACACUCACCGCAGCUCCACAAAUUGUCAUCCGUGCUUGUGGAUUGGCAGCACUGUCCUCCUACACAAUGCCAGCUUUCUCUCUUUGCAGAGGAGCACGUGUACAUAAAGGUAAAGAGAUUCUUUCUGUCACACCAGUAUUUGGACCUGAGGAAGGUACCAGUUUUUUUCCAGCUUUUCUACAGUUUUGAUUCUGAGUACAAAACAGCAUGA